GAUGAACGCUGGCGGCGUGCUUAACACAUGCAAGUCGAACGAUGAAGCUCAGCUUGCUGGGUGGUUUAGUGGCGAACGGGUGAGUAACACGUGAGUAACCUGCCCUUAACUCUGGGAUAAGCCUGGGAAACUAGGUCUAAUACCGGAUAGGACCGCCUACCGCAUGGUGGGUGUUGGAAAGAUUUAUCGGUUUUGGAUGGACUCGCGGCCUAUCAGCUUGUUGGUGAGGUAAUGGCUCACCAAGGCGACGACGGGUAGCUGGCCUGAGAGGGUGACCGGCCACAAUGGGACUGAGAGACGGCCCAGACGCCUACGGGAGGCAGAAGUGGGAAAUAUUGCACAAUGGGCGAGAGUCGGAUGCAGAGGCGCCGCGUGAGGGAUGACGGCCUUCGGGUUGUAAACCUCUUUCAGUAGGGAAGAAGCGAAAGUGACGGUACCUGCAGAAGAAGCACCGGCUAACUACGUG
This 466-nucleotide ribosomal RNA is filed under the name uncultured bacterium. RNAcentral describes it as "partial 16S ribosomal RNA". It matches the Rfam family "Bacterial small subunit ribosomal RNA", at positions 28 to 507 of the family's 1533-position model. The record is from RNAcentral.